Molecule: non-coding RNA, 79 nt
Organism: Podarcis lilfordi (Lilford's wall lizard)
Lineage: Eukaryota; Metazoa; Chordata; Lepidosauria; Squamata; Lacertidae
Source: the annotation of a GenBank genome assembly
UUGGCAAGAGGUAUAUUAAUAUACAGGCAGGAUGAUAUUGAAGAUCAUCCUGCCUGUGUAUUAAUAUACUUCUUGCCAA